RNAcentral lists this ribosomal RNA (473 nucleotides) under uncultured bacterium. RNAcentral's name for it is "bacterial SSU rRNA". It matches the Rfam family "Bacterial small subunit ribosomal RNA", at positions 28 to 507 of the family's 1533-position model. The record is from RNAcentral.
GAUGAACGCUGGCGGCGUGCCUCAAACAUGCAAGUCGAGCGGGGCUAUGUAAUAUCGCAAGGUAGAACAUAGCCUAGCGGCGAACGGGUGAGUAACACGUGGGUAACCUGCCUGGAAGACAGGGAUAACGAUUCGAAAGGGUCGCUAAUACCUGAUAAUAUCCUUUCAUCGCAUGGUGAUAGGAAGAAAGGGGAAACCCGCUUUCAGAUGGGCCCGCGUCCCAUCAGCUAGUUGGUAAGGUAAAGGCUUACCAAGGCGACGACGGGUAGCCGGUCUGAGAGGAUGUACGGCCACACUGGGACUGAGAUACGGCCCAGACUCCUACGGGAGGCAGCAGUUGGGAAUCUUAGGCAAUGGACGAAAGUCUGACCUAGCGACGCCGCGUGAGGGAAGAAGGCCUUCGGGUUGUAAACCUCUGUCAUGGGGAAGAAGUAAGUGACGGUACCCCAAGAGGAAGCCCUGCUAACUACGUG